RNAcentral lists this small nuclear RNA (18 nucleotides) under Arabidopsis thaliana (thale cress). RNAcentral's name for it is "snRNA_09647". The record is from RNAcentral. Lineage: Eukaryota; Viridiplantae; Streptophyta; Magnoliopsida; Brassicales; Brassicaceae.
UGGCAGUGAUGACUCGGA